GGCGAUCAUGCUCUCUAUCUCCGCCGUACAGCGGCGAUACCGCCUGUUUCAUCCUGUUCGUCAAACUGUGCCUUUCCACUUUAACCCCGUACAGUCCAUCUUCCCGCUCAUCUACGAGAACAACCUCCUCGCCAAACCGCGCCUCAGCUGGAAGGACUAUGAGGGCAGGAAAGAGUUCGAUGCAGAUCACCCGCUCCCCGUUGUUGGGACGCGGCUCAAUGAGCGCACCACUACGCACAAAUGGUCUCAUUGGGACCAGUACAUCAACCCGCAGAUAACACAGAGCUGGAUGGAUCUGACGCAGUCACCCGAGUACGUUGGGCCUCGCAGCGGGCAUAACGUCAUCAAGAUGGGAUGGAUGAAGAUCGGGGGUAGCUGGAAGUACUCUCGUAGCUACAACGAUGCGCGGCGUGGUUUUGCCAAGGGGCAGUGGCAGGAGCGGAAGAUGACGCCUCGCUUCAUGCUGGCACCACGCGUGUCCGCCGGCGGCCCGCGCAACCGGUACGAAGGCAAGGCGUCCUUCUCGCGACUGAGCCUCAGCAAACUGCUGUGGGCUGUGGAUACAGGCCGACUAAACCCGAAUGAGACCAUCACCUUGUAUCACCUUCGCAAUGCGAAGGUGAUCGCCGAUCGCGAAGUCGUGUGGCCGGGGAUGGUACUGCUUGCCGGUAACGUGGAGCGUGUACCUUACCCGCUGCACAUCGAGCUGCAGAACGCGUCGGCGAAAGCAAUCCAGCUGCUCGAGGAGGCCGGUGGCUCCUUCACAAAUGUGUACAUGUCUCACGAGGGCCUCUACCAGGAGCUACACCCCGAGGAGUUCCCCACCUUUAUGGAGCAGGAGCUGCCGGAGAGGAAAGGGCUGGAGAACUUUGCAACGCAUUCGCGCAAGCGGGGCUGGCUGGCGCAGUGGUACGAGGACGAGAGCCGCUAUGCCCACCCCAGCGCUGGACGACGCAGUGCACACUACAUCCGCCCACCGACCGAUCGCGAUUUCCCCGCCACCAUCGAGGAAUACGAGCUCGCGAAGCAUCACCAGAAAUGGCACCUGAAUCAGCCUGGAAGCGCUACCGUGCUGCCCUGGCACUCUCUCAACACAGCUGACAUGGCACGGCGGUCAGCCGGGCGACUGUAGCGAGACACUCGUCCACGUCGACGCGCAAGAGGAGGCUCGAUUGUUCGCCAGUUUGUUGAUACGCGCGCGUGUGCCGUUGCUGGGUUUUGCUAAGCAAUGCACACGACAAGUUAAGGCGGUGCCAAGGAAACAGGGUAGCCGAACACAC
This 1280-nucleotide unclassified non-coding RNA is filed under the name Leishmania donovani. RNAcentral's name for it is "gene:LdHU3.16.0020(CDS-product:hypothetical_prote in_conserved)". The record is from RNAcentral. Lineage: Eukaryota; Euglenozoa; Kinetoplastea; Trypanosomatida; Trypanosomatidae.